GUGAAUCAUCGAAUUUUUGAACGCAAAUUGCACUCUCUUCGGAGAGUAUGCCUGUUUGAGGGUCAGUUAAAUAAAAAUCGGUGUUGUUGCUGAUUUUUGUGGUGACGUGUUGGAAUGGAGUUGUCUUACUUUCGGUUAAGUGACUUAAAAUUUUGCAUGGUAUUCGAACGUAUUUAAAUUUCUUAGGUAAGUUUGAGAUAUAGAAUACUUUUUUAGGUUCGGUUAUCGUCAUGAUUAGAACAU
RNAcentral lists this unclassified non-coding RNA (243 nucleotides) under Glomus sp. RNAcentral describes it as "partial contains 5.8S ribosomal RNA and internal transcribed spacer 2". The stretch from base 1 to 65 matches the Rfam family "5.8S ribosomal RNA", at positions 84 to 154 of the family's 154-position model. Lineage: Eukaryota; Fungi; Glomeromycota; Glomeromycetes; Glomerales; Glomeraceae. The record is from RNAcentral.